GUACUUACUUCAGCAACACAAAUGCUAAGAUUGGAACAAUACAGAGAAAAUUAGCAUGGUCUCUGCACAAG
This 71-nucleotide small nuclear RNA is filed under the name Peromyscus maniculatus bairdii (prairie deer mouse). The record is from RNAcentral. Lineage: Eukaryota; Metazoa; Chordata; Mammalia; Rodentia; Cricetidae.